Molecule: regulatory RNA element, 60 nt
Organism: Clostridium sp. FS41
Lineage: Bacteria; Bacillati; Bacillota; Clostridia; Eubacteriales; Clostridiaceae
Rfam family: GP20-b RNA
Source: Rfam
UGCCAGUUGUGGCGUAAAAACAGCAGGUGCCAGCGGAGCAACCCGCGAUAACAAAGCGUA